Molecule: unclassified non-coding RNA, 288 nt
Filed under: uncultured fungus
Lineage: Eukaryota; Fungi
Description: partial contains small subunit ribosomal RNA, internal transcribed spacer 1, and 5.8S ribosomal RNA
Rfam family: Eukaryotic small subunit ribosomal RNA (bases 1-73)
Source: RNAcentral
ACAAACUUGGUCAUUUAGAGGAAGUAAAAGUCGUAACAAGGUUUCCGUAGGUGAACCUGCGGAAGGAUCAUUCAUAAUAGAGUGUUUUAUGGCACUCUAAAAAAAAUCCAUAUCCACCUUGUGUGAAAUGUUAAUCCUUGUCUUUCAUUAGAUAAAGGUUUUUUAUAUCAACUCUUAUUAUUUUUUUUUUUUAAUUUUGUCUGUAAAACGUUAUGAAUUUAUUACUUAAUUCAAAACACAACUUUCAACAACGGAUCUCUUGGCUCUCGCAUCGAUGAAGAACGCAGC